Molecule: long non-coding RNA, 3217 nt
Filed under: Sus scrofa (pig)
Lineage: Eukaryota; Metazoa; Chordata; Mammalia; Artiodactyla; Suidae
Description: lncRNA (ENSSSCG00000056783.1)
Source: RNAcentral
UGAACAUUUAUCAUUUCCAGUGAUGCUCAGUGCUAUGGGGGUUGAGGUUACCAAGCCUGGAAAUGAGUUUUAUUAUGGUAAAAGCAGAAGUUCAAGGCUAAAAAGAUGAACAAAUACAAGGAAAGGAAAAAGAGGGAUCUCCAAACUGAGAGAAUCAGGAAUGUCUACCCUAAGAUAUGAUUUCUAGGAUGCUUCUUGUUCUUUUAAAAACAGGUAUAAAGCUUUCUUUUUAUUAGAAACACAAUACAAAAUGUGGGAGAGCACUCAGAGAAGCAGUUUGUUUAUCUAAGGCAGAAGCAAAGCAGUAAUAUACACCCAAAGGAGGAGUGCGGGUGCAGGCGUCCUCCUGAAUGAGAAUUGUUUGGGAUGCUUGUUGUUGGAUGAGCAGGAAUUAGGCACAAAGGGACAGAUGAUAAGCUAUACUUUAUGCCCAUUCAGCUUCUUUUGAAUAUCUUCCUAUAUUUUCUACAGAAUGCUUUCCUAAAGUGGAAGCUGCUAUUUGAUUCCCCAGUCUCCCUAGGGUACUAAAGAAAGGAGAGAAAUGAAUUAUCUCCUAAAACCACCAGUUAGAUAUUCAUGCCUGAGGUCUUAGUCGUAUGAAGCCUACUUCCUGAGAAGGUAACAGAGCAUGCAGGGGGGCAUCUCAUCUUCAGAGGCAGUAGAAACAGAAGUCCUAAUAGUAGUAUUCCUUUUUCAGUGUCCUUGCUCUGAUAUAUGUGUCCACUGGUGAUUGGGGGGCAGAUCACUCUAUUGUUCUUAGUUACUUUACCUUCAGGCCUGGCUUUUUGUGUUUCCCUGAGAUUCUGUGAAUUCUCUAGUAUUAUUAAUAAAUUAUCUUUUUUGCUUAACUGGAUAAAAGUGAUUCUGUUGAUUAUAAUUAGGAAUCCUUCCCAAAACAGAAGCAUUUCAGGUAGAAGUAAUAACUGGCAAGAUUUGAAGGGCAUGAACAUGAAGCAUUCUGAAAACUGAAGCUGUGAUAGUAAUUUGGUGUUCUGGAAUGGAAAGCAGGUGAGAAGGCAUACUGGAGAUGUUGAUAGGCCUCAUGUAAUGGACAUUGGAUUAUUUUAAUCAGGAAGAUAAUAAGAUCACAUUUAUGUUUAGGAAAAUUUCUUUGGCAGCCAUGUAGAAAAUGGACUAGAGGGGGAUAUAAGUGAGAAAAGAAGCAUGGAGAUCUAUUAGGAGAAAACUGUAGAGUGCAACAGUGAAAUUGUGAGUCCUUGGUUAAGUCUGUCAUAGUGUGGAUAAAGAUCAUGGGACAGAACAAGAAGAUGUUUAGGACAUACAAGAAAUUUAAAAUGUUGAUUAAUUAUUUGUGAGAAUGAUGAAGAAAAGAGGUUCUGAAAUGAGGCUCAUGUUUCUAAUUUAGGAGAUUAGAUACAUGUUAGUGCAGGUCACAAGGGAGUAUAAAGGGAGGUAGGAAUGUACAGUGAACAUUUGACAUGUGCUAUUGAAAAGUCAAAAAGAGAUAGCCACUGGAAUAUUGGAUAUGUGAGUCUGAAACUGACAACACUUACAACUUGAACCCAGACUAAACCAGUGAUUUUUAAGUUCAAAUCACUCACCUGAUGUCUGGACUUACUGAGGUUCAGAUUCUUGGUGCCUCAGCACAGAAGGAAUUCAGCAAGAGACAAAGUGAUAAGCAAGAAAUAGAUUUAUUUAGAUAAGAUGCUUGUGAGAGAUACACGUGGACAGGCAAGGAGGGUUUGUUUGCCCCAAGGACUAGUUGGGCUACAUUUUUAUAAACUGAGACCUACUCUUCCUUUUUCUUUAAGUAGCAGCUCCUCCUUGGUAUCCUGUAAGAAAGUACUUGACCCUAUAAAAUCAAACUAGGACUGUCAAGGUGCUAAUUCGAAUCAGCAGAAGGGAGGUCCUUAAACUCCUGCCCUUAGUCCUAAGGGUCAUUGUCUUGCUGAACUUGAAUGAGGGCCUCAUUUUAAAGACCUGAGUCAUAUCUCCUGCUUUUAAUUGUGGUUUCGUAGUUAAGCAAGCUGCUUCAUUCUGAUGGUUCUGAUGGCUUUCUUGAGUGAUCAUUAACUUACAGUGAUCUCCCAAAUUUCCCUAGGUUUCCAUCUCUAUGGUCCCCUGUUGGGACUUCUACAACUACCUGUGAAACUAUCCUACUCCAUCCUUAUCAAGACUAGGACGUUAGAGAUUUCUGAGCUAAUAAUGUAUAGGUGAUUGUAGACAUGUUAAUAAUGGCAAGAUCAACCAGGUGGUUUACAUCUUGUGAGAAGGGAAAGGAGAAGAGGAUAGAACCCUGGGUAAUAUCAACAUGUUAGAUUUGCUUGGAGGGAAUGAAGAAUGUAAAAACAGACUGAGAAGGAAUAAACAAGAGAUUAAGCGUUGUAUCCUCUUCCUCUUGUGUUUGGUGGUCUUAGAAGAUUAAUGACGCUGGCAGAAAAAAAGAAAAUGAAUCUUCAUUUUUUUUUGCCAUGUGGAAGGACAAGUUCCAAUCUAGAUUUCUGCACAUUUUUAUGGGAAGGAGAUAUAUUAUUAGGGUUGUUCUGGCCUUGCAUCAACUCAAACAUUGGAUUUAGAAUUUUCUCCUUGUCUCCCUCCUUUAUACUCCAGCUACAAAUAUCAGCUCAUGGCAUGUAGGAAAAUUUAAUCUGUAGGUCAUGGGAAGAGGAAUACAUCAAACAUUACAUACCUACAAUGUAAAAAACCAUAUGCCAAACAUUCCUGUUUCCAUAAGUUCUUUUGGACACCCAGUAGAAUUCUAUUGGCCUUUUACCCAACUUUUUGCUUUCAUAAUGUCUGUUUUUUUCCCCCUUAUCUUUUAUUUUUAUUCAUUACUCAGUCCACUUUUCCAUCCAAAGAAAAUAAAAAAUAGGUUAUUCUUAUUUCAAUUUAGUUCUUUUUUUGAGAUAAAUUUUUCUUGUUCAUAAUUUAUCAAAAUCUUUUCUUAAAUAACAGUUCUCUUUUGAAAAGACUACUAGUACUAGCUGUUUAGAGAAUCAGCGUACUGGAGUUCCCAUCGUGGCGCAGUGGAAAUGAAUCUGACUAGGUUCAUUUCAUUCAUUUCAUGAAGUUGCAGGUUCGAUCCCUGGCCUUGCUCAGUGGGUUAAGGAUCCAGCAUUGCCAUGAGCUGUGGUGUAGGUCGGAGACUUGGCUGGGAUCUGGCAUUGCUGUGGCUCUGGUGUAGGCUGGCAGCUGUAGCUGUGAUUAGACCCUUAGCCUGGGCACCUCCAUAUGCCAUGGGUGUGGCCCUAAAAAG